RNAcentral lists this ribosomal RNA (562 nucleotides) under Amanita vaginata. RNAcentral's name for it is "eukaryotic LSU rRNA". The stretch from base 219 to 372 matches the Rfam family "5.8S ribosomal RNA". The record is from RNAcentral. Lineage: Eukaryota; Fungi; Basidiomycota; Agaricomycetes; Agaricales; Amanitaceae.
UUUCCGUAGGUGAACUGCGGAAGGAUCAUUAUUGAAUGGGACUUUGGCUGGAUGCUGUUGUGCUGGUCCUCUGGGCAAUGUGCACACCUCUGGUCACUUGUUUCUUCUGUUCCACCUGUGCACUGCCUGUAGACAUGCCAAUGGCGUGUCUAUGAUAUUUGUUACACACACGAUGUUAUGCAAGUUGGUUGGCAUAUUACAUGUUAUAAUAAAUAUACGACUUUCAACAACGGAUCUCUUGGCUCUCGCAUCGAUGAAGAACACAGCGAAAUGUGAUAAGUAAUGUGAAUUGCAGAAUCCAGUGAAUCAUCGAAUCUUUGAACGCAUCUUGCGCUCCUUGGCAUUCUGAGGAGCAUGCCUGUUUGAGUGUCAUUAAACUAUCAAAACACUUUUUCUCGAGGUGUUUUGGACUUUGGGAGCACUGUGCUGGUCUCUGUUUGAGCCAGCUCUCCUCAAAAGCAUUAACUUUGAGACCAUCAGUGUGAUAAUUUGUUUGCACUGGCCUUCUUUUUUAACUGCCCCUUUGACCUCAAAUCAGUAGACUACCCGCUGAACUUAAGCA